GGCACAGCGAUCAUGUUUGUUGUGUGCCUGAGGAUGGGGCUGCGGCUGAUCAGGCAGUUGGCGAGGUAACGGCUCACCAAACCUUUGACCAGUACGGGCCAUGAAAGUGGUAGCCCGGAGAUGGGCACUGAGACAGGGGCCCAGGCCCUACGGGGCGCAGCAGGCGCGAAAACUCCACACUGUACGCAAGUACGAUGGGGUUAUCUCGAGUGCAGUCCGAUAAGGGCUGCUUUUCCAUAGAGUAAUAUCCUGUGGGAAUAAGAGGGGGGCAAGACUGGUGUCAGCCGCCGCGGUAACACCAGCCCCUCGAGUGGUGGGGACUUUUAUUUGGCCUAAAGCGUCCGUAGCUGGCUGUAUCCGUCCCCCGUUAAAUCCAGCGUCCUAAACGUUGGACUGCGGGUGAUACCAUACAGCUAGAGGGUGGGAUAGGUGAGCGGUAUUUCUGGGGUAGGGGCGAAAUCCUUUGAUCCCAGGAGGACCACCAGUGGCGAAGGCUGCUUACUAGAACACGCCUGACGGUCAGGGACGAAAGCUGGGGCAGCGAACCGGAUUAGAUACCCGGGUAGUCCCAGCUGUAAACGAUGCUAGCUAGGUGUUGGGUCGGCCACGCGCCGCCCCAGUGCCGCAGGGAAGCCGUUAAGCUAGCCGCCUGGGGAGUACGGCCGCAAGGCUGAAACUU
RNAcentral lists this ribosomal RNA (679 nucleotides) under uncultured archaeon. Its description in RNAcentral is "bacterial SSU rRNA". It matches the Rfam family "Archaeal small subunit ribosomal RNA", at positions 177 to 857 of the family's 1478-position model. The record is from RNAcentral.